CAGCAGUCGCCGCGGUAAGACAGAGGAUGCAAGCGUUAUCCGGAAUGAUUGGGCGUAAAGCGUGCGUAGGCGGCUUCUUAAGUCGGAUGUGAAAUCCCUGAGCUUAACUUAGGAAUUGCAUUCGAUACUGGGAAGCUAGAGUAUGGGAGAGGAUGGUAGAAUUCCAGGUGUAGCGGUGAAAUGCGUAGAGAUCUGGAGGAAUACCGAUGGCGAAGGCAGCCAUCUGGCCUAAUACUGACGCUGAGGUACGAAAGCAUGGGGAGCAAACAGGAUUAGAUACCCCCGUAGUCCCUGUCUCUUAUAC
Molecule: ribosomal RNA, 304 nt
Filed under: uncultured bacterium
Lineage: Bacteria
Description: partial 16S ribosomal RNA
Rfam family: Bacterial small subunit ribosomal RNA
Source: RNAcentral